RNAcentral lists this long non-coding RNA (691 nucleotides) under Bos grunniens (domestic yak). RNAcentral describes it as "lncRNA (ENSBGRG00000021047.1)". The record is from RNAcentral. Lineage: Eukaryota; Metazoa; Chordata; Mammalia; Artiodactyla; Bovidae.
GCAUGGGGUAUGGAUACUUCUUUGUGCUGUUGUUUAUUUUCAAUCAUUCCUCUUCACAGAUACUGUUUUUCUAUCCCCCAGGUCAACAAACUCUCUUUUCAGGGCAGACGUCUGCUGGAUCCAUGUCAACACUCGAAAGGCUGAGAGGGGGUCUGGAUUCCCUGAUGCGCCCAAGAGCCUCCAUCCUGGGUCCAACCGGGCUAUCAGUUUCUCUGUCCUCUAAGAAGCCUGAGCAGGUGAGCACAGAGGAUGGGACUGCUCACAGGCCAUCUGUCACCUCUGCUUUUCUUGCCACAUUUCUGGCCAGAGGCCCAGCCCACCCACAGGAUUUCUCUCUCUCUCUGCACACAGCACUGUCAUGAAGAAUGAAAGUUGAAUAAUCAAAGCAAUAUGAUAUUGUCAUAAAAAAUAGACACACAGAUUAGUGGGACUGAGCCCAGGGACCAGAAAUAAACCCAUGGAUAUAUGGUCAAUUAAUUUAUAACAGAGGAGCUAUACCUUGGAGAAAGAAGAGUCUGUUCAAUACACCUGGACAAUCACAUGCAAAAGAAUGAAACUGAACCAUUCUUACACCAUACACAAAAAUUAACUCAAUGGAUUAAAGGCCUGAGUGAAAUAACUGAAACCACAAAACUCCCAGAAGAAAACAAAGGCAGUAACCUCCUGGAGCAGUCUUAGUGAUGAAUUUUGG